GCCAGGUGUGGUGGUGUGCGCCUGUAAUCCCAGCUACUCAGGAGGCUGAGGUGGGCAGAUCACUUGAGGCCAGGAGUUCAAGACCAGCCUGGCCAACAUAGUGAAACCCCAUCUCUA
This is an unclassified non-coding RNA of Pongo abelii (Sumatran orangutan), 117 nucleotides long. It matches the Rfam family "Metazoan signal recognition particle RNA". From Rfam's summary of the family: The signal recognition particle (SRP) is a universally conserved ribonucleoprotein. It is involved in the co-translational targeting of proteins to membranes. The eukaryotic SRP consists of a 300-nucleotide 7S RNA and six proteins: SRPs 72, 68, 54, 19, 14, and 9. The record is from Ensembl. Lineage: Eukaryota; Metazoa; Chordata; Mammalia; Primates; Hominidae.